GCCAUGCCGCGUGCAGGAUGACGGUCCUAUGGAUUGUAAACUGCUUUUGUACGAGAAGAAACACUGCUUCCUGAAGCAGCUUGACGGUAUCGUAAGAAUAAGGAUCGGCUAACUCCGUGCCAGCAGCCGCGGUAAUACGGAGGAUCCGAGCGUUAUCCGGAAUCAUUGGGUUUAAAGGGUCCGUAGGCGGUUUAGUAAGUCAGUGGUGAAAGCCCAUCGCUCAACGGUGGAACGGCCAUUGAUACUGCUGAACUUGAAUUAUUAGGAAGUAACUAGAAUAUGUAGUGUAGCGGUGAAAUGCUUAGAGAUUACAUGGAAUACCAAUUGCUAAGGCAGGUUACUACUAAUUGAUUGACGCUGAUGGACGAAAGCGUGGGGAGCGAACAGGAUUACAUACCCUGGUAGUCCACGCCGUAAACGAUGGAUACUAUCUGUUGGGAGCAAUCUCAGUGGCUAAGCGAAAGUGAUAAGUAUCCCACCUGGGGAGUACGUUCGCAAGAAUGAAACUCACAGGAAUUGACGGGGGCCCGCACAAGCGGUGGAGCAUGUGGUUUAAUUCGAUGAUACGCGAGGAACCUUACCAAGGCUUAAAUGUAGAUUGACCGGUUUGGAAAC
This 615-nucleotide ribosomal RNA is filed under the name Flavobacterium sp. Ri1Ps_4817. RNAcentral's name for it is "bacterial SSU rRNA". It matches the Rfam family "Bacterial small subunit ribosomal RNA", at positions 391 to 1007 of the family's 1533-position model. The record is from RNAcentral. Lineage: Bacteria; Pseudomonadati; Bacteroidota; Flavobacteriia; Flavobacteriales; Flavobacteriaceae.